RNAcentral lists this ribosomal RNA (439 nucleotides) under uncultured bacterium. RNAcentral's name for it is "bacterial SSU rRNA". It matches the Rfam family "Bacterial small subunit ribosomal RNA", at positions 418 to 874 of the family's 1533-position model. The record is from RNAcentral.
UCGGUGCGUAAACUCCUUUUAUAUGAGAAGAUAAUGACGGUAUUAUAUGAAUAAGCACCGGCUAACUCCGUGCCAGCAGCCGCGGUAAUACGGGGGGUGCAAGCGUUACUCGGAAUCACUGGGCGUAAAGAGCAUGUAGGCGGAUUAAUAAGUUUGAAGUGAAAUCCUAUAGCUUAACUAUAGAACUGCUUUGAAAACUGUUAAUCUAGAAUGUGGGAGAGGUAGAUGGAAUUUCUGGUGUAGGGGUAAAAUCCGUAGAGAUCAGAAGGAAUACCGAUUGCGAAGGCGAUCUACUGGAACAUUAUUGACGCUGAGAUGCGAAAGCGUGGGGAGCAAACAGGAUUAGAUACCCUGGUAGUCCACGCCCUAAACGAUGUACACUAGUUGUUGUGAGACUUGAUCUUGCAGUAAUGCAGUUAACACAUUAAGUGUACCGCCU